GAUGAACGCUGGCGGCGUGCCUAAUACAUGCAAGUCGAGCGAACGGACGAGAAGCUUGCUUCUCUGAUGUUAGCGGCGGACGGGUGAGUAACACGUGGAUAACCUACCUAUAAGACUGGGAUAACUUCGGGAAACCGGAGCUAAUACCGGAUGAUAUUUUGAACCGCAUGGUUCAAAAGUGAAAGACGGUCUUGCUGUCACUUAUAGAUGGAUCCGCGCUGCAUUAGCUAGUUGGUAAGGUAACGGCUUACCAAGGCAACGAUGCAUAGCCGACCUGAGAGGGUGAUCGGCCACACUGGAACUGAGACACGGUCCAGACUCCUACGGGAGGCAGCAGUAGGGAAUCUUCCGCAAUGGGCGAAAGCCUGACGGAGCAACGCCGCGUGAGUGAUGAAGGUCUUCGGAUCGUAAAACUCUGUUAUUAGGGAAGAACAUAUGUGUAAGUAACUGUGCACAUCUUGACGGUACCUAAUCAGAAAGCCACGGCUAACUACUUG
This 497-nucleotide ribosomal RNA is filed under the name uncultured bacterium. RNAcentral's name for it is "partial 16S ribosomal RNA". It matches the Rfam family "Bacterial small subunit ribosomal RNA", at positions 28 to 507 of the family's 1533-position model. The record is from RNAcentral.